ACUUAAAUAGUUUAAAAAAAAUGUUGGUCUGUGAAUCCAAAGAUGUGUAAAGCACUUUAGGUA
RNAcentral lists this transfer RNA (63 nucleotides) under Typhlatya dzilamensis. RNAcentral's name for it is "tRNA-His". It matches the Rfam family "tRNA". Rfam says of the family: Transfer RNA (tRNA) molecules are approximately 80 nucleotides in length. The record is from RNAcentral. Lineage: Eukaryota; Metazoa; Arthropoda; Malacostraca; Decapoda; Atyidae.